Molecule: ribosomal RNA, 505 nt
Filed under: uncultured Glomus
Lineage: Eukaryota; Fungi; Glomeromycota; Glomeromycetes; Glomerales; Glomeraceae
Description: SSU rRNA
Rfam family: Eukaryotic small subunit ribosomal RNA
Source: RNAcentral
AGCAGCCGCGGUAAUUCCAGCUCCAAUAGCGUAUAUUAAAGUUGUUGCAGUUAAAAAGCUCGUAGUUGAAUUUCGGGAUCAAUAUGCUGGUCGUGCCAUUGGUACGUACUAGUAUUAUUGGUUUCUUCCUUCUGAUGAAUCAUGAUGUCAUUAAGUUGAUGUCAUGGGGAAUCAGGACUGUUACUUUGAAAAAUUAGAGUGUUUAAAGCAGGCUCGCGCUUGAAUACAUUAGCAUGGAAUAAUGAAAUAGGACGUUUGAUUCUAUUUUGUUGGUUUCUAGAAUUGACGUAAUGAUUAAUAGGGAUAGUUGGGGGCAUUAGUAUUCAAUUGUCAGAGGUGAAAUUCUUGGAUUUAUUGAAGACUAACUACUGCGAAAGCAUUUGCCAAGGAUGUUUUCAUUAAUCAAGAACGAAAGUUAGGGGAUCGAAGACGAUCAGAUACCGUCGUAGUCUUAACCAUAAACUAUAGCCGACUAGGGAUCGGAUGAUGUUAAUUUUUAAUGUAC